GAUGAACGCUGGCGGCGUGCCUAAUACAUGCCAGUCGAGCGAACGGACGAGAAGCUUGCUUUUCUGAUGUUAGCGGCGGACGGGUGAGUAACACGUGGAUAACCUACCUAUAAGACUGGGAUAACUUCGGGAAACCGGAGCUAAUACCGGAUAAUAUUUUGAACCGCAUGGUUCAAAAGUGAAAGACGGUCUUGCUGUCACUUAUAGAUGGAUCCGCGCUGCAUUAGCUAGUUGGUAAGGUAACGGCUUACCAAGGCAACGAUGCAUAGCCGACCUGAGAGGGUGAUCGGCCACACUGGAACUGAGACACGGUCCAGACUCCUACGGGAGGCAGCAGUAGGGAAUCUUCCGCAAUGGGCGAAAGCCUGACGGAGCAACGCCGCGUGAGUGAUGAAGGUCUUCGGAUCGUAAAACUCUGUUAUUAGGGAAGAACAUAUGUGUAAGUAACUGUGCACAUCUUGACGGUACCUAAUCAGAAAGCCACGGCCAACUACGUG
RNAcentral lists this ribosomal RNA (497 nucleotides) under uncultured bacterium. RNAcentral describes it as "partial 16S ribosomal RNA". It matches the Rfam family "Bacterial small subunit ribosomal RNA", at positions 28 to 507 of the family's 1533-position model. The record is from RNAcentral.